UACGUAGGGUGCAAGCGUUGUCCGGAAUUAUUGGGCGUAAAGAGCUCGCAGGCGGUUCGUCGCGUCGGCUGUGAAAACCCGGAGCUCAACUCCGGGCCUGCAGUCGAUACGGGCGGACUGGAGUGUUGCAGGGGAGACUGGAAUUCCUGGUGUAGCGGUGAAAUGCGCAGAUAUCAGGAGGAACACCGGUGGCGAAGGCGGGUCUCUGGGCAACUACUGACGCUGAGGAGCGAAAGCGUGGGGAGCGAACAGG
Molecule: ribosomal RNA, 253 nt
Filed under: uncultured bacterium
Lineage: Bacteria
Description: partial 16S ribosomal RNA
Rfam family: Bacterial small subunit ribosomal RNA
Source: RNAcentral